Molecule: ribosomal RNA, 446 nt
Filed under: uncultured bacterium
Lineage: Bacteria
Description: partial 16S ribosomal RNA
Rfam family: Bacterial small subunit ribosomal RNA
Source: RNAcentral
CCUACGGGGGGCAGCAGUCGAGAAUCAUUCACAAUGGGGGAAACCCUGAUGGUGCGACGCCGCGUGGGGGAAUGAAGGUCUUCGGAUUGUAAACCCCUGUCAUGUGGGAGCAAAUUAAAAAGAUAGUACCACAAGAGGAAGAGACGGCUAACUCUGUGCCAGCAGCCGCGGUAAUACAGAGGUCUCAAGCGUUGUUCGGAAUCACUGGGCGUAAGGCGUGCGUAGGCUGUUUCGUAAGUCGUGUGUGAAAGGCUAGGGCUCAACCCGCGGACGGCACAUGAUACUGCGAGACUAGAGUAAUGGAGGGGGAACCGGAAUUCUCGGUGUAGCAGUGAAAUGCGUAGAUAUCGAGAGGAACACUCGUGGCGAAGGCGGGUUCCUGGACAUUAACUGACGCUGAGGCACGAAGGCCAGGGGAGCGAAAGGGAUUAGAUACCCCAGUAGUC